RNAcentral lists this ribosomal RNA (400 nucleotides) under uncultured Eubacteriales bacterium. Its description in RNAcentral is "bacterial SSU rRNA". It matches the Rfam family "Bacterial small subunit ribosomal RNA", at positions 356 to 774 of the family's 1533-position model. Lineage: Bacteria; Bacillati; Bacillota; Clostridia; Eubacteriales. The record is from RNAcentral.
GGGGAAUAUUGCACAAUGGAGGGAACUCUGAUGCAGCGACGCCGCGUGAGCGAAGAAGGUUUUCGAAUCGUAAAGCUCUGUCCUAUGGGAAGAUAGUGACGGUACCAUAGGAGGAAGCCCCGGCUAACUACGUGCCAGCAGCCGCGGUAAUACGUAGGGGGCUAGCGUUGUCCGGAAUUACUGGGCGUAAAGGGUUCGCAGGCGGAAUUGCAAGUCAUAUGUGAAAUUCAGAGGCUUAACCUCUGCAAGCAUGUGAAACUGUAAUUCUUGAGAUAUGGAGAGGUAAGUGGAAUUCCUAGUGUAGCGGUGAAAUGCGUAGAUAUUAGGAGGAAUACCAGUGGCGAAGGCGACUUACUGGCCAUAAACUGACGCUGAGGAACGAAAGCGUGGGGAGCAAACA